RNAcentral lists this ribosomal RNA (252 nucleotides) under uncultured Actinomycetes bacterium. Its description in RNAcentral is "uncultured actinobacterium partial 16S ribosomal RNA". It matches the Rfam family "Bacterial small subunit ribosomal RNA", at positions 28 to 276 of the family's 1533-position model. The record is from RNAcentral. Lineage: Bacteria; Bacillati; Actinomycetota; Actinomycetes.
GACGAACGCUGGCGGCGCGCCUAAUACAUGCAAGUCGAGGGAGAACCGAGCCUUCGGGCUCGGGGAGACCGGCGAACGGGUGAGUAACACGUGAGGAACCUGCCCCUGUAGACCGGAAUAACCACGGGAAACUGUGGCUAAUGCCGGAUAUUCUCAGGCCUUUCGCAUGAGGGCACGAGGAAAUGGUCCGCCGCUACAGGAUAGCCUCGCGGCCUAUCAGCUUGUUGGUGAGGUAACGGCUCACCAAGGCGA